UGGGUUAGGUAAAUGUUCCAUGAUAAUGGAUUAGGUAAAUAUUCCAUGAUAAUGGGUUAGGUAAAUGUUUCAUGAUAAUGGUUUAGGUAAAUGUUUCAUGAUAAGAAAUUCAUGUCUUUUGUAUUAAAGAAUUAAAUGGAUGAAAUAUGAAGUUUUAUUAAAAGAAAAAGGGGUGAAAAGAACAAAGUUUUGUCCAUCUUUGUUCAUCAUAGCUGAAAGUUAGAGAAGAGAAAGGAGAGGAGAAAGCUCUUGAGUAUUCGGUCAUUAGGAGGAGGAAAAUUGAAGGCGGUUCGUGUGUGGAUCUCGUCAGCAUAUCGUCGCAAACAGGAAAUCCCCAACCAUAGCGGGCUUGGAGCUGUGAGGGAAUUCGGAGUGGCCACCCGUUCUGAAAGUUUGAUUUUCUUCUGGUGAACUGGACAUCAUUUUAUUUACGUUUGAAGUUUUUGGGCUUUUAAAUGUAAUAAGGCCGCUUAAUUAUUUUUAUGGUUUUAAUAUGUAUUACUAAGAUAGGUAAUACUUAUAUUUAACUAUUGAAAUUGGAUAGCUUUAGGGCACGUUUUCAAAAACAACAGUUGAUUUCAAAAUAACACGACAACAAGCAAAGCUUCCGCAAUGAAA
Long non-coding RNA from Gossypium arboreum, 618 nucleotides. RefSeq lists it as uncharacterized. The transcript has 3 exons. The record is from RefSeq and is a predicted model, not a curated record. NCBI's taxonomy places the organism in Eukaryota, Viridiplantae, Streptophyta, Magnoliopsida, Malvales, Malvaceae.